Molecule: ribosomal RNA, 524 nt
Filed under: uncultured bacterium
Lineage: Bacteria
Description: bacterial SSU rRNA
Rfam family: Bacterial small subunit ribosomal RNA
Source: RNAcentral
GAUCAUGGCUCAGAACGAACGCUGGUAGCGUGGAUUAGGCAUGCAAGUCGAACGGGAUCGCCGGGUUAGCAAUAAUCCGGCGUGAGAGUGGCGGAUUGGGGAGGAACACGUGAGCAACCUGCCUUUGAGUCGGGGAAAACCGUUGGAAACGACGGCUAAUACCGGAUGUGGCGCCCCGUGACAUCACGGGAACGCUAAAGGGGGCCGCAAGGCUCCCGCUCGUAGAGGGGCUCGCGCGCCAUCAGCUUGUUGGCGGGGUAACGGCCCACCAAGGCCUACGGUUAGCUGGUCUGAGAGGAUGACCAGCCCCACUGGGACUGAGAUACUGCCCAGACUCCUACGGGAGGCUGCAGUCGAGGAUCAUUUGCAAUGGGCGAAAGCCUGACAAUGCGACGCUGCGUGGAGGAUGAAGGCCUUCGGGUUGUAAACUCCUGUCAUGGGGGAACAGGCGAGGGGAGUUAAUACCUCCCUUAGUUGAGUGUACCCCAAGAGGAAUUGGCGGCUAACUCUGUGCCAGCCGCGGC